AACGCACAUUGCGCCCCCUGGUAUUCCGGGGGGCAUGCCUGUCCGAGCGUCAUGUCUCCCUUCAAGCGCGGCUUGUGUGUUGGGUGCUGUCCCCCCGGGGACACGCCCGAAAGGCAGUGGCGGCGUCGCGUCGGGUCCUCGAGCGUAUGGGGCUUUGUCACCCGCUCGGGAGGGACCUGCGGGCGCUGGUCUUCCUUGCACAACCCCCCCGGCGGGGUUGUCUCUCUGGUUGACCUCGGAUCAGGUAGGGUUACCCGCUGAACUUAA
Molecule: unclassified non-coding RNA, 267 nt
Filed under: uncultured fungus
Lineage: Eukaryota; Fungi
Description: partial contains 5.8S ribosomal RNA, internal transcribed spacer 2, and large subunit ribosomal RNA
Rfam family: 5.8S ribosomal RNA (bases 1-52)
Source: RNAcentral